CCUACGGGUGGCUGCAGUGAGGAAUAUUGGUCAAUGGACGCAAGUCUGAACCAGCCAUGCCGCGUGCAGGAAGACGGCUCUAUGAGUUGUAAACUGCUUUUGUACGAGGGUAAACGCAGAUACGCGUAUCUUUCUGAAAGUAUUUUAUGAAUAAGGAUCGGCUACCUCCGUGCCAGCAGCCGCGGUAAUACGGAGGAUUCAAGCGUUAUCCGGAUUUAUUGGGUUUAAAGGGUGCGUAGGUGGUCGGAUAAGUUAGAGGUGAAAUCGCGAGGCUCAACUGCGGAAUUGCAUCUGAUACUGUUAGGCUAGAGAGUAGUUGAGGUAGGCGGAAUGUAUGGUGUAGCGGUGAAAUGCUUAGAGAUCAUGAAGAACACCGAUUGCGAAGGCAGCUUACCAAGCUACUUCUGACGUUGAGGCACGAAAGCGUGGGGAGCAAACAGGAUGUGAUACCCUAGUAGUC
This 460-nucleotide ribosomal RNA is filed under the name uncultured bacterium. RNAcentral describes it as "partial 16S ribosomal RNA". It matches the Rfam family "Bacterial small subunit ribosomal RNA", at positions 338 to 795 of the family's 1533-position model. The record is from RNAcentral.